RNAcentral lists this signal recognition particle RNA (100 nucleotides) under Clostridiales bacterium. RNAcentral's name for it is "signal recognition particle sRNA small type". It matches the Rfam family "Bacterial small signal recognition particle RNA". From Rfam's summary of the family: The signal recognition particle (SRP) is a universally conserved ribonucleoprotein involved in the co-translational targeting of proteins to membranes. Lineage: Bacteria; Bacillati; Bacillota; Clostridia; Eubacteriales. The record is from RNAcentral.
GUAGGGGUCCUGCGCAAUGUGGCGCCGUGAACCUUGUCAGGUCCGAGAGGAAGCAGCAAUAAGCGGUUUGCAUCAUGUGCCGCAGAUAAGCCUCUACGCA